AGAGUUUGAUCCUGGCUCAGAACGUACGCUGGCGGCACGCCUAACACAUGCAAGUCGAACGAAGUAGCAAUACUUAGUGGCAGACGGGUGAGUAACAUGUGGGUAUCUGCCCUUUGGCCUGGAAUAACACGAGGAAACUUGUGCUAAUACCGGAUAAGUCUUUACGGAGAAAGCUUUAUGCACCAUUGGAUGAGCCCGCACUUGAUUAGUUUGUUGGUGGGGUAAUGGCUCACCAAGACUGUGAUCAAUAGCUGAUUUGAGAGGAUGAUCAGCCACAUUGGGACUGAGACACGGCCCAAACUCCUACGGGAGGCAGCAGUGGGGAAUCUUGCACAAUGGAGGAAACUCUGAUGCAGCGAUGCCGCGUGAGUGAAGAAGGCCUUUGGGUUGUAAAGCUCUUUCGUCGGGGAAGAAAAUGACUGUACCCGAAUAAGAAGGUCCGGCUAACUUCGUGCCAGCAGCCGCGGUAAUACGAAGGGACCUAGCGUAGUUCGGAAUUACUGGGCUUAAAGAGUUCGUAGGUGGUUGAAAAAGUUGGUGGUGAAAUCCCAGAGCUUAACUCUGGAACUGCCAUCAAAACUUUUCAGCUAGAGUAUGAUAGAGGAAAGCAGAAUUUCUAGUGUAGAGGUGAAAUUCGUAGAUAUUAGAAAGAAUACCAAUUGCGAAGGCAGCUUUCUGGAUCAUUACUGACACUGAGGAACGAAAGCAUGGGUAGCGAAGAGGAUUAGAUACCCUCGUAGUCCAUGCCGUAAACGAUGUGUGUUAGACGUUGGAAAUUCAUUUUCAGUGUCGCAGCGAAAGCGAUAAACACACCGCCUGGGGAGUACGACCGCAAGGUUAAAACUCAAAUGAAUUGACGGGGACCCGCACAAGUAGUGGAGCAUGUGGUUUAAUUCGAAGAUACGCGCAGAACCUUACCAACACUUGACAUGUUCGUCGCGACUUUAAGAGAUUAAAGUUUUCGGUUCGGCCGGACGAAACACAGGUGCUGCAUGGCUGUCGUCAGCUCGUGUCGUGAGAUGUUGGGUUAAGUCCCGCAACGAGCGCAACCCUCACUUUUAGUUGCCAUCAUUAAGUUGGGCACUCUGAAAGAACUGCCAGUGAUAAGCUGGAGGAAGGUGGGGAUGACGUCAAGUCCUCAUGGCCCUUACGUGUUGGGCUACACACGUGCUACAAUGGUAUCUACAACAGGAAGCAAGACUGCGAAGUUAAGCAAAUCCUUAAAAGAUACCUCAGUUCGGAUUGCACUCUGCAACUCGAGUGCAUGAAGCUGGAAUUACUAGUAAUCGUGGAUCAGCGUGCCACGGUGAAUGCGUUCCCGGGUCUUGUACACACCGCCCGUCACACCAUGGGAGUUGGUUCUACCUUAAGGCAAGGUCUAAAACCCUUGACCACGGUAUAGUCAGCGACUGGGGUGAAGUCGUAACAAGGUAACCGUA
This 1439-nucleotide ribosomal RNA is filed under the name uncultured bacterium. RNAcentral describes it as "bacterial SSU rRNA". It matches the Rfam family "Bacterial small subunit ribosomal RNA". The record is from RNAcentral.